This 407-nucleotide ribosomal RNA is filed under the name uncultured bacterium. Its description in RNAcentral is "bacterial SSU rRNA". It matches the Rfam family "Bacterial small subunit ribosomal RNA", at positions 88 to 529 of the family's 1533-position model. The record is from RNAcentral.
AUACUUAGUGGCAGACGGGUGAGUAACAUGUGGGUAUCUACCCUUUGGCCUGGAAUAACACGAGGAAACUUGUGCUAAUACCGGAUAAGUCUUUACGGAGAAAGCUUUAUGCACCAUUGGAUGAGCCCGCACUUGAUUAGUUUGUUGGUAGGGUAAUGGCUUACCAAGACUAUGAUCAAUAGCUGAUUUGAGAGGAUGAUCAGCCACAUUGGGACUGAGACACGGCCCAAACUCCUACGGGAGGCAGCAGUGGGGAAUCUUGCACAAUGGAGGAAACUCUGAUGCAGCGAUGCCGCGUGAGUGAAGAAGGCCUUUGGGUUGUAAAGCUCUUUCGUCGGGGAAGAAAAUGACUGUACCCGAAUAAGAAGGUCCGGCUAACUUCGUGCCAGCAGCCGCGGUAAUACGAA